AUCUCGGUGGUCUAGAGGUAUGAUACCAGGCUAGUGAUCUGGAGAUCGUGGGUUCGAGUCCCACCCGAGAAC
This 72-nucleotide transfer RNA is filed under the name Anneissia japonica. RNAcentral's name for it is "tRNA-Thr". It matches the Rfam family "tRNA". From Rfam's summary of the family: Transfer RNA (tRNA) molecules are approximately 80 nucleotides in length. Their secondary structure includes four short double-helical elements and three loops (D, anti-codon, and T loops). Lineage: Eukaryota; Metazoa; Echinodermata; Crinoidea; Comatulida; Comatulidae. The record is from RNAcentral.